CCCAGACUCCUACGGGAGGCAGCAGUGAGGAAUAUUGGUCAAUGGGCGCGAGCCUGAACCAGCCAAGUAGCGUGAAGGAUGACUGCCCUACGGGUUGUAAACUUCUUUUAUAAAGGAAUAAAGUGAGGCACGUGUGCCUUUUUGUAUGUAUUUUAUGAAUAAGGAUCGGCUAACUCCGUGCCAGCAGCCGCGGUAAUACGGAGGAUCCGAGCGUUAUCCGGAUUUAUUGGGUUUAAAGGGAGCGUAGAUGGGUUGUUAAGUCAGUUGUGAAAGUUUGCGGCUCAACCGUAAAAUUGCAAUUGAUACUGGCAGCCUUGAGUACAGUUGAGGUAGGCGGAAUUCGUGGUGUAGCGGUGAAAUGCAUAGAUUUCGCGCAGAACACCGAUUGCGAAGGCAUCUGACGAAUCGGAGAUUGACGCUGAUGCACGAAAGCGUGGGUAUCGAACAGGAUUAGAUACC
RNAcentral lists this ribosomal RNA (459 nucleotides) under uncultured bacterium. RNAcentral's name for it is "partial 16S ribosomal RNA". It matches the Rfam family "Bacterial small subunit ribosomal RNA", at positions 330 to 786 of the family's 1533-position model. The record is from RNAcentral.